RNAcentral lists this small RNA (67 nucleotides) under Arabidopsis thaliana (thale cress). RNAcentral describes it as "ATSL156970". The record is from RNAcentral. Lineage: Eukaryota; Viridiplantae; Streptophyta; Magnoliopsida; Brassicales; Brassicaceae.
UUUUUUUCUUCUUCUUCUUCCUUCUGCAUCUGAAAGUUUGUAUUUUUCCUGGGUUUUUACCUUUCUU